UACGUAGGGUGCAAGCGUUAAUCGGAAUUACUGGGCGUAAAGCGUGCGCAGGCGGCUUUGCAAGACAGAUGUGAAAUCCCCGGACUCAACCUGGGAACUGCAUUUGUGACUGCAAGGCUAGAGUACGGUAGAGGGGGAUGGAAUUCCGCGUGUAGCAGUGAAAUGCGUAGAUAUGCGGAGGAACACCGAUGGCGAAGGCAAUCCCCUGGACCUGUACUGACGCUCAGGCACGAAAGCGUGGGGAGCAAACAGG
Molecule: ribosomal RNA, 253 nt
Filed under: uncultured bacterium
Lineage: Bacteria
Description: partial 16S ribosomal RNA
Rfam family: Bacterial small subunit ribosomal RNA
Source: RNAcentral